Molecule: ribosomal RNA, 499 nt
Filed under: uncultured bacterium
Lineage: Bacteria
Description: partial 16S ribosomal RNA
Rfam family: Bacterial small subunit ribosomal RNA
Source: RNAcentral
GACGAACGCUGGCGGCGUGCCUAAUACAUGCAAGUCGAGCGGACUUUCAAGAAGCUUGCUUUUUGAAAGUUAGCGGCGGACGGGUGAGUAACACGUGGGCAACCUGCCUGCAAGACGGGGAUAACUCCGGGAAACCGGGGCUAAUACCGGAUAAUAUCUUCCUUCGCAUGAAGGAAGGUUGAAAGGCGGCGCAAGCUGCCGCUUGCAGAUGGUCCCGCGGCGCAUUAGCUAGUUGGUGAGGUAACGGCUCACCAAGGCGACGAUGCGUAGCCGACCUGAGAGGGUGAUCGGCCACACUGGGACUGAGACACGGCCCAGACUCCUACGGGAGGCAGCAGUAGGGAAUCUUCCGCAAUGGACGAAAGUCUGACGGAGCAACGCCGCGUGAGCGAAGAAGGUCUUCGGAUCGUAAAGCUCUGUUGUAAGGGAAGAACAAGUACCGUUCGAACAGGGCGGUACCUUGACGGUACCUGACCAGAAAGCCACGGCUAACUACGUG